Orbicella faveolata is the source of this 728-nucleotide long non-coding RNA. The record is from RefSeq and is a predicted model, not a curated record. NCBI's taxonomy places the organism in Eukaryota, Metazoa, Cnidaria, Anthozoa, Scleractinia, Merulinidae.
GCUAAAUUGUGUGCAGUUUGUUUCAAUCCUUAGUGCAUUUUAUUAUUCUCACCCCUGCCCCCGCCCUCCGGUCCCCCCACCUCUAAAGCCUCGCAAGUAUCCUCAAAGUGAACUUGUGUUGGGUGGCCAAACGGACUUGUAAGUUUCCUUGCAAGUAUACAAAAGCUGCAAAAACUCAUUUCAAGGCCAUUUAAUGUAGACUUACAUGUAUCCUGUUUUCCAUUGGCUAAUAGGUUGCUAUGACAACAAAUGGACGCCACUUAACUUGCAUUGACUUGGGUUGGGUGGCCAAAGGUGGCCACUGGAGCUACAGAUGCAAGAGAUGUGACAGACUCACCUUUGAUUUCAGCUGAAUCUAGAUCAGCAGUACAAAACCCAGGGGAGGAACAAGAAAAUAGACCAGAAGUAUUGUCAUCUCCCACAGAUCUAUCAGGACGUCUGUCUCAUAUGGGAAUACAAGAAACUAUGGAUCCUCGUGGAAAACAGAUAAGUACUUUAGAAAAGAAAUCUGAAGAAGACAAGUGCCUCUGGGAACAAGAAGUGCAGAGCGUAGCUGGAGCUCAAAAUAAUUUGUUAACCACCAUCCUCAAGGUUAAUUUGGACCCCAAAAGAGAGUUUGGAGGGGACUAUCGGUCCUUAGCAGGGCUAUUUGGCAAAAAUAUGGAAGGUAUUUGGUUUUUGGCAACGGCAUCAAGUCCUAUAGAAACGUUGCUGCAAGAAUACCGGCC